GGUGAACGCUGGCGGCGUGCCUAAGACAUGCAAGUCGAGCGGGCCGCGGGGUUUUACUCCGUGGUCAGCGGCGGACGGGUGAGUAACGCGUGGGUGACCUACCCGGAAGAGGGGGACAACCCGGGGAAACUCGGGCUAAUCCCCCAUGUGGACCCGCCCCUUGGGGUGUGUCCAAAGGGCUUUGCCCGCUUCCGGAUGGGCCCGCGUCCCAUCAGCUAGUUGGUGGGGUAAUGGCCCACCAAGGCGACGACGGGUAGCCGGCCUGAGAGGGUGGCCGGCCACAUGGGCACUGAGACACGGGCCCCACUCCUACGGGAGGCAGCAGUGAGGAAUCUUCCGCAAUGGGCGCAAGCCUGACGGAGCGACGCCGCUUGGAGGAAGAAGCCCUUCGGGGUGUAAACUCCUGAACCCGGGACGAAACCCCCGACGAGGGGACUGACGGUACCGGGGUAAUAGCGCCGGCCAACUCCGUG
Molecule: ribosomal RNA, 473 nt
Filed under: uncultured bacterium
Lineage: Bacteria
Description: partial 16S ribosomal RNA
Rfam family: Bacterial small subunit ribosomal RNA
Source: RNAcentral